This 446-nucleotide ribosomal RNA is filed under the name uncultured bacterium. RNAcentral's name for it is "partial 16S ribosomal RNA". It matches the Rfam family "Bacterial small subunit ribosomal RNA", at positions 338 to 795 of the family's 1533-position model. The record is from RNAcentral.
CCUACGGGAGGCAGCAGUCGAGAAUCAUUCACAAUGGGGGAAACCCUGAUGGUGCGACGCCGCGUGGGGGAAUGAAGGUCUUCGGAUUGUAAACCUCUGUCAUGUGGGAGCAAAUUAAAAAGAUAGUACCACACGAGGAAGAGACGGCUAACUCUGUGCCAGCAGCCGCGGUAAUACAGAGGUCUCAAGCGUUGUUCGGAAUCACUGGGCGUAAAGCGUGCGUAGGCUGUUUCGUAAGUCGUGUGUGAAAGGCGCGGGCUCAACCCGCGGACGGCACAUGAUACUGCGAGACUAGAGUAAUGGAGGGGGAACCGGAAUGCUCGGUGUAGCAGUGAAAUGCGUAGAUAUCGAGAGGAACACUCGUGGCGAAGGCGGGUUCCUGGACAUUAACUGACGCUGAGGCACGAAGGCCAGGGGAGCGAAAGGGAUUAGAUACCCGGGUAGUC